Long non-coding RNA from Mauremys reevesii (Reeves's turtle), 601 nucleotides. RefSeq lists it as uncharacterized. NCBI's taxonomy places the organism in Eukaryota, Metazoa, Chordata, Testudines, Geoemydidae. The record is from RefSeq and is a predicted model, not a curated record. The transcript has 2 exons.
CCCAGCUGCCCCUCUGUGGUGAUGGAAGAACAGUGAGACAAAUUUGAGAGAGUGGCAGCGUGACCUAGAGCACAGGGUCGCCACACUCACUCACUCAAAUUUUGCCUGACCACCCCUCCAUCGUCGGCCAUGUAGAAGGAAAGACCUUAAGGCAGGACCCUCGCUCCUGGGGCAGAGGGUUGCGGGGGAACAGCUGUGGCUUGGAAACCAGGAGCAUCAGAGAAGCUGGAUCCAUGGAGAAAUCCCCAGGGAACUGUGUCUAGGGCAGGCAUCAUCAGAAGCUGGGGGACUGCAUAUGGAAUAGGGUGUGGCUGGAGGAGAUUGCAAGUGGGAGUUGGCCUGUGCAUGUGGAAACAGCAGCGACUGAGCAGGAAAUCCUGGCAGACAGGCUCCAGUGAGAGAAACCGCUCAUUGCAAACCUGUAAACUCCUGUUUGCUUGGAAUAUUCUCCUGUGCAAGUCAUCGACCCUUCACACUGCAACAUCUGCUAUGGCAAAAAGAAACAUUCCUUCAGUGACAACACGCCGCGAUGACGUCCCAAGAUGGAAGGAGCCUGCUACCAGUUGAACAAUACCACCUGUUAAUAAACUUUGAAAUUUCA